RNAcentral lists this ribosomal RNA (253 nucleotides) under uncultured bacterium. RNAcentral's name for it is "partial 16S ribosomal RNA". It matches the Rfam family "Bacterial small subunit ribosomal RNA", at positions 524 to 776 of the family's 1533-position model. The record is from RNAcentral.
GACGGGGGAGGCGAGCGUUAUCCGGAAUCACUGGGCGUAAAGCGUCCGCAGGUGGUGAUGCAAGUCACUGGUGAAAAACUCUGGCUCAACCGGAGGAAAGCCAGUGAAACUGCAUGACUAGAGUGUGGGAGAGGUAGCAGGAAUUCCCUGUGUAGCGGUGAAAUGCGUAGAUACAGGGAAGAACACCAGAGGCGAAAGCGGUCUACUGGAAGACAACUGACACUGAGAGACGAAAGCUAGGGGAGCGAACCGG